This 427-nucleotide ribosomal RNA is filed under the name uncultured beta proteobacterium. RNAcentral describes it as "bacterial SSU rRNA". It matches the Rfam family "Bacterial small subunit ribosomal RNA", at positions 355 to 774 of the family's 1533-position model. Lineage: Bacteria; Pseudomonadati; Pseudomonadota; Betaproteobacteria. The record is from RNAcentral.
UGGGGAAUUUUGGACAAUGGGCGGAAGCCUGAUCCAGCCAUGCCGCGUGAGUGAAGAAGGCCUUCGGGUUGUAAAGCUCUUUUAGUCGGAAAGAAAGAGUUGCAAUGAAUAAUUGUGAUUUAUGACGGUACCGACAGAAAAAGCACCGGCUAACUACGUGCCAGCAGCCGCGGUAAUACGUAGGGUGCGAGCGUUAAUCGGAAUUACUGGGCGUAAAGGGUGCGCAGGCGGUCUUGCAAGUCAGAUGUGAAAGCCCCGGGCUUAACCUGGGAAUUGCGUUUGAAACUACAAGACUAGAGUGCAGCAGAGGGGAGUGGAAUUCCAUGUGUAGCAGUGAAAUGCGUAGAGAUGUGGAAGAACACCGAUGGCGAAGGCAGCUCCCUGGGUUGACACUGACGCUCAUGCACGAAAGCGUGGGGAGCAAACA